This is a long non-coding RNA of Daphnia carinata, 588 nucleotides long. RefSeq lists it as uncharacterized. The transcript has 4 exons. The record is from RefSeq and is a predicted model, not a curated record. NCBI's taxonomy places the organism in Eukaryota, Metazoa, Arthropoda, Branchiopoda, Diplostraca, Daphniidae.
GUAAUAUGCACUAGUGGAUUGCCGCGCGGGCGACGGUACAAUACUUUUUCACGUGCUGCAUACCUUUUCUCUUUGUCUCCGUAUUUAGCCAAAAACAGAUCUACAGUUGAAUUUGUUAUGCCAGUUCCUUUUUUGUUGGGUUCUGUAUCAACAAAUUGAAACAGCAUUCAAGAAUACCUUGAUGUUGCUGCUGAUUAUGAAGCAACAGAUGUAUCGGUUAGCUAUUGGAGUCACCUAUAUGCUCUUCAGCAAGGAUUUAGUCUAUUAAAAGAUAAAGAAGACCUGGAAUUUUCAUGUGAUCCAUUGAAAUGGCUUGGCAGAAAGAAAAAAGAACUGAGGUCGCUGAAGAACAAGCUCCACAAACAAAUCUUAUGAUACAGUAUAUGUGAUCUAGCUGAGGCUCAACUUCCUGUUGAAAAUGUUGCUCAUAAUCUUUUAACCUGGGCUGAAAGCAGAUUCCAGUUAUGCCCUAUUAAUCGGUUCAACAAAAUUGUUGUUGGGACAUUCUUCAGUGCCAAAAUAUUGCUGGAUGUGUGCCCAAUCUUUGGCGAGCUAAACAAAGAAAUGGCCAAAAACAAAAAGUAUUUC